UGGGGAAUAUUGGACAAUGGGCGCAAGCCUGAUCCAGCCAUGCCGCGUGUGUGAAGAAGGCCUUUUGGUUGUAAAGCACUUUAAGCGAGGAGGAGGCUACUUGGAUUAAUACUCUAGGAUAGUGGACGUUACUCGCAGAAUAAGCACCGGCUAACUCUGUGCCAGCAGCCGCGGUAAUACAGAGGGUGCGAGCGUUAAUCGGAUUUACUGGGCGUAAAGCGUGCGUAGGCGGCUUUUUAAGUCGGAUGUGAAAUCCCUGAGCUUAACUUAGGAAUUGCAUUCGAUACUGGGAAGCUAGAGUAUGGGAGAGGAUGAUAGAAUUCCAGGUGUAGCGGAGAAAUGCGUAGAGAUCUGGAGGAAUACCGAUGGCGAAGGCAGCCAUCUGGCCUAAUACUGACGCUGAGGUACGAAAGCAUGGGGAGCAAACAGG
RNAcentral lists this ribosomal RNA (430 nucleotides) under bacterium. RNAcentral describes it as "partial 16S ribosomal RNA". It matches the Rfam family "Bacterial small subunit ribosomal RNA", at positions 355 to 776 of the family's 1533-position model. The record is from RNAcentral.